GAAUAUUGGACAAUGGGGGCAACCCUGAUCCAGCCAUGCCGCGUGUGUGAAGAAGGCCUUCGGGUUGUAAAGCACUUUCAGUGGUGAGGAAGGUUGUUGUGUUAAUAGCGCAGCAAAUUGACGUUAGCCACAGAAGAAGCACCGGCCAACUCCGUGCCCGCAGCCGCGGUAAUACGGAGGGUGCAAGCGUUAAUCGGAAUUACUGGGCGUAAAGCGCGCGUAGGCGGUUUGAUAAGUGAGAUGUGAAAGCCCCGGGCUUAACCCGGGAAUUGCAUCUUAUACUGUCAGGCUAGAGUAUGGUAGAGGUGGGUAGAAUUCCUGGUGAAGCGGUGAAAUGCGUAGAGAUCAGGAGGAAUACCGGUGGCGAAGGCGGCCCACUGGACCAAUACUGACGCUGAGGUGCGAAAGCGUGGGGAGCAAACAGG
This 425-nucleotide ribosomal RNA is filed under the name uncultured bacterium. RNAcentral describes it as "bacterial SSU rRNA". It matches the Rfam family "Bacterial small subunit ribosomal RNA", at positions 359 to 776 of the family's 1533-position model. The record is from RNAcentral.